AUUGAACGCUGGCGGCAUGCCUUACACAUGCAAGUCGAACGGCAGCGCGGGGCAACCUGGCGGCGAGUGGCGAACGGGUGAGUAAUAUAUCGGAACGUGCCCUGGAGUGGGGGAUAACGUAGCGAAAGUUACGCUAAUACCGCAUACGAUCCAAGGAUGAAAGCAGGGGACCUUCGGGCCUUGUGCUCCUGGAGCGGCCGAUAUCUGAUUAGCUAGUUGGUGGGGUAAAAGCCUACCAAGGCGACGAUCAGUAGCUGGUCUGAGAGGACGACCAGCCACACUGGAACUGAGACACGGUCCAGACUCCUACGGGAGGCAGCAGUGGGGAAUUUUGGACAAUGGGGGCGAACCCUGAUCCAGCAAUGCCGCGUGUGUGAAG
RNAcentral lists this ribosomal RNA (379 nucleotides) under uncultured bacterium. RNAcentral's name for it is "bacterial SSU rRNA". It matches the Rfam family "Bacterial small subunit ribosomal RNA", at positions 30 to 410 of the family's 1533-position model. The record is from RNAcentral.